RNAcentral lists this long non-coding RNA (7456 nucleotides) under Nicotiana benthamiana. RNAcentral describes it as "long non-coding RNA (NBEN_LNC021879)". Lineage: Eukaryota; Viridiplantae; Streptophyta; Magnoliopsida; Solanales; Solanaceae. The record is from RNAcentral.
AUGCGGAUGCUGCAGAUAUACCUCAAGUCUCCACUAGAUUUCUCCGCCUCGAUGGUAGUGCGCCUGAGAUGAAGUACCUGGAUCUUCACAUGAAAAACAUGCACAUAAGAGGCAUUAGUACGCCACAAUGGUACUCAGUAAGUGCCAAACCUAACCUCGGUCGGGUAGUGACGACGAAGGUCAGGGCCCUAAUGAGAUUUAAAUAAUAUGAUAAGAAUGAUGACAACAACAUACAGUAAGAAGACAUAAUGGAAUACAACCGUGGAGUAAGUAAGACCAUACAAAUAACAAUCAACACACCGAGGAUGAAAUAACCCAGAGUAAAAAAGGUCAAAAUCAGUACCAAUUUACUAGGAUCUCCCAGGAUACCGUCCUGUAGUCCAUUUUCGUGUCAAUACCAAUAAUGAGGAUCUCUCAAGAUACCGUCCUGUAGUCCAUUCCCAUAAAUUGUAGGAUGCAUUUCAAUACCAAUAAUGAGGAUCUCCCAGGAUACCGUCAUGUAGUCCAUAUCAAUACCAAUAACGAGGAUCUCCCAAGAUACCAUCAUGUAGUCCAUUUCCAUAUCAAUACCAAUAACGAGGGUCUCCCAGGAUACCAUCCUGUAGUCUAUUUCCAUAUCACUACCAAUAACGAGGAUCUUCCAGGAUAUCGUCCUGUUGUCCAUUUCCAUGAUAUAAAUGUGCAGGGGGAACCUGGAAUCUAACCCGUAGUCCCAAAGUAAAUAUGUAGGGGGAUCUCUCAGGAAUGAAACCCGUAGUUCCAAAGUAAAUAUGCAGGGGGGUCUCCCGGGAAUCAAACACUUAGUCCCAAAGUAAUUAUGCAGGGGGAUCUACCGGGAAUCAAACCCGUAGUCCCAAAGUAAAUAUGCAGAGGGAUCUCCUAGAAAUCAAAUCCGUAGUCCCAAAGUAAAUAUGCAGGGAAUCAAACCCGUAGUCCCAAAGUAAAUAUGUAGGAGAUCUCCCGGGAAAAAAACCUGUAGUCCCAAAAUAAAUAUGCAGGGGGAAUCUCCCAGGUACCUCGCGCUCGCCACCUCGUGUACAAGGCACUCAAUUACCAAAUAACAUAUCCUAAGAGGAAGGUCCCCCACACAAGGUUAGAAAAUCCACUUACCUCAAUCGGCCCCAAAAUCAACUUUAAAUCACUCUUUUGCCACGAGUAUCCGACUCCAACUCGCCCAAAUCUAUUCAUUUCAAUUACAUCUCAUAAAUAACAUCUCAAGAAACUAAUUCUACUAUUUAAUUUAAAUCUAUGAUGUAAAUUUAGGUAAAAUAACCAAAAUGCCCUCAGGCCAACGUGGUCAAAACCUAAGGUUCGAACAAAAAUCCGGUUAUCCAUUCCCCCACAAACCCAAAUAUAUGAUUUGUUUUAAAAUUAGACCUCAAAUUGUUUUAAAAUCGAACCUCAAAUUGAGGUCGAAAUACCCAAUUAGAUGAAAAUUUAGAUAAAUUGACCAAAAUGCCCCUCGGACCAACGUGGUCAACACAUGAGGUUCGAACUAAAAUCCGAUUAUCCAUUCCCCAUGAAUCCAAUUAUGUGAUUAGUUUUGAAAUAGGAUCUUGAAUUGAGGUCCAAUCCCCAAUUUUAUCAAAACACUAGGUCCUACCCAAUAUACCCGAAUUUACCCAUUAAAAACUUCGAUUUGAUGUUGAAAUUAUGUUAAAUGGUGUUAAUGAGUGAAGAAAAUGAGUUAGAAACCACUUACCAAUCGUUUUGAAGAAAAAGUAUUGCUUAGAAAAUCGUCUUCUUAGGUUUUGAGUUUUUUAAAAGUGAGAAAUAACUGAAAAAUUCCGUAUAUUUAUAAUCUCUGGACCUCCUCGCGCGAUCGAUGACCGCAGCUGCGCUGGUGGAGCUAAAAUAUGUUAGUCCUCUGAAGUUGGCAGCAUGGACCGUGCGAGGGGGAUCGUGGCCGCGCGGCUCACGCCGCGGAUCGCGCCAGAGCGAACGCAGUCGUGCUAGAGGAACUGAAGGCUGUGGGUUCUCUGAAGCUGGCAGCGUGGACCACACAAGGAAGACCGAGGCCGGGUGGAUCAUGCCACAAACUGCUUGAUCACCACUACGGCCGCGCGAUGGAACCUACAGCUUGCAUUUGACCUGCAACAUCUGGUGUUUUAAGUCUAAGACCUCCCAGAACCUACUUGAAACUCACCAGAGCCCUCGGGGAUCCAAACAAAACAUACACAUCACUUCAAAAACAUCUUACGGACUUGUCCGUAGGAUCAAAUCACCAAAAUAACAUCAUAUACAUCGGAUCGAGCCUCAAAACUCAUGAUUUCUUCCAAAUUUCUCAUAUGACAUAAAAUGGCCAUUUUGGGUCUGAAACACAUCAAAAGACGUCAGUUUUCAACCAAACAUUACAGAAAGAGCUCCAAGCAUAUAUAAGACUUGUACCGGGUACCGUAACCAAAAUACGGGCUCGAUACCCAGUAUUCUAAUCAAAUUUCAUUUCCAUUUUCUUUAAUUAUUUCCAUAAAAUAAUUUGACAUAAAAAUCCAUUCCUCGAACUUGGGACCUCGGAAUCCGAUUCCAGGUGUAUAUUUUCCUACGAUUCCCUACGGGACCGUCAAAUCACGGGUCCGGAUCCGCCUACCCAAAAAUAUUGACCAGAGUCAACUGUUAACAUAUUAAUAUCAAAAUUCUGCAUUUUCACACAAAAUUCAUAUUUAAGCUUUUUCGGCUAUGCGCCGGGACUGCGCAAGCAAAUCGAGGAAACCCGAGAGGAGGUUUUAAGGCCUCGGAAGUACCGAACGGAAAAAAAUAAUAAUUGAUGACCCCAUUGGGUCGUCACAAUAGCCUUAAAUUGUAUUAUGCUUUCUUGUUUACACUACUUGGAAUUUAUAUAACGAGGAUACCAAAAGAUCCUCGGGAUACUAAGAGAUCCCUAGUAUAUAAUGAGGAUACUAAGAGAUUCUUGGGAUAGCAAGAGAUCCCUAUCUCAUAUUGAGGAUACAAAGAGAUCCCUGAUAUAGAUUGAGGAUACCCAAAGAUCCUCGGGAUAUUGAGAGAUCCCCGAUUAUUAUCCUUGUGAUCAUUUUAGCCUCUGUUUCAGUUAUUGUAUUCCUUACUUUCUCGUAUUACCUAUUGUUAGCUUGCAACUAAAUUGCUUAUCUUAUCCUCUUAUACCUUUUAUCUUAUUUUAUCUUAGUAGGCCCCUGACCUUCCUCAUCACCACUCAACGGAGGUUAGACUUGGCACUUACUGAGUACCUUUGUGGUGUACUCAUGCCCUUUUUGCACAUAACCACGUCUCUGGACAUAAUAGUUACUCUUAGGCGACUACUCUAGUAACUUAGAGGUAUAUCUUCCACAUCGGCAGACCGAGAAGUCUCCUUUUAUUCCCUUAUUAGUAUUUAGCCCUUUUGUAUUUUCUGUUUUGUUAGAAAUUUUGGGGUUAGAGCUAUGUAGUAUCUCUUAGCUUCUGAUUCAUGGGUUUUCGGGUUUUGGGAAUUGUUGUUAGUUUGAGAAGUUUCAUUGUUUAUGCUGAGUGGCAUUUUAAAUAUGCUUCAUUAUGUUAUCCGGUUUUAAAUUAUUUCUUCCACGAGUUUUGUUUAUUUUCAUAUUUUUAGGCUUACCUAGUCGUAUUUUAGAAAAUUCCACUUCAUUUCAUUCCUUAUCGUGUGAUAUUUAUUCAAUUUGAAGCCUAUAUCACAUGUUAUUUUUGCAUCCACUUGUGUAUUGAAAUUGCUCACUCGGCAUCAAUUAUACGCCAACGGCUCGUGAUGCUAUAAAAGGAUUAUAAGGGAGCCAAGAAUUUCUCAACCACUAUUAUCGCGUGUCAUCCAUAUCGAUAAUGCAGGUGUUUUGAUAGAUCAUUCAGUUGUGCACAUGAGGGUGCAAUAGGUUAUGGCAUAUGAUUGAUAAGUACUGUCUUAAGAAGGUUCACUUAAUUGCCUAAUCGUUGCGAUAGUAGUAGAGUCAUGAGGUUGGUGUAUAUCUGAAGAUACUCGGUGGUAGUAGAUACGAUGUUGUUCAUAUGAUAUUUUGAUUUUGGUGAAGGGUACAACUAGCAACCGAGAUACUGGAAGAAGUGAGUUCAACUGUCAAAAGGAUGACAUGCGCCAAACGAAUGGCUUGAGGUGUCUUAUGAUAGUGUUGUACGAUCGAUAAAGGCUAGUAUAUUGGAUUAUCAAAAUGUAUCCUAUGGCUUUGCACCAAGUGAAAGGAGUGCACUAUCAACGAUCAAAUAGUCAGGUCAUGUGUCAUAUCAGCUUUGGCCUGAGAUAUAUUUCUGUGGUGUUCAAAAGUCCUCUGAAACUUGUAUAUAAGUAAAAGAUGAAAUUUGAAUAGGAUGAUGCAGGGACAUGGAAAUAAUUUUGGAAUACUCGUAGUGCUUAAUCAACGCACUCACUUGGAACAAUCAUCAUUUAAUGCACAACUGGUAUAUGAUUCUUACAAUGGUUAUUCUAUUUAUCUGGUACAGACUUAGUAUGAGCAGCCAAACGUAGAUGGGUGUUAUGAAUGUUGUGAUACUAAGAACAUCGUGAGAGAUUGUCCCAUACUUGGUAGGAAUCUAUUUCAUCAAAACACUUAGUCCACACACUCCAUUACUAAUCUACAUAUACUAUAAGUUAAAGAUGGAGAACAAGUGUGUAGAUGGCGCCUAAGAGGUGGGGGCCCGACCCAAUUAUAUAAUUGCCAUGGUAUGGAUAGUGUCGCUACACCAGAUGGUGUCAUUACAUGUAUGAUCUCAAUGUGAUUAUAAAGUAAUAAUUUCAUUAAAUUGAUUCGGUUCUAAGUAUCUAAGAAAGUCCUAUAAAUAUGCUACACUCACGAGUGAGCUCCGUAAUCCUGAAAUUUACUUAUAUGAAUACUCACGUUAGGUUAUUAUAUGGAGAUAGCUAUUUCUAUCUUUAUGUGUUGGUCACUAAGAAUAGCUAUGAGGCUAAAAGUGACUUUCUAUUACUUACUACAAUGAGUUUUGAUGUGAUUUCAGGAUAAUUAAAUACAAUUGUGAAUUAUAUGCCCUACCAGUAUGAGAGUUCAUUAUAUGUUGUGAUUUUGUUUGACGAAAAUUAUUUUAAAAGAAGAAAGAAAAGAAAUAAAAAAUUUCAGUUGGCACAAUGUGCAAAUACUUGUGAUUUAGAGUUGAGGACGAGAUCCUCACAUUUUUAUAUAAUGUGAAAUAUUUUAAACCAGGAUACAAGUUACGGGGGAUCUUAUAUAAGGACGAGGUCCUGGUGGUGAAAAGUUUAUGCGUUUCAAAUUCUUCUUUUAUGAAAUAAAAUAAAAUUGUUAUAUUUUAAUAGGGAGUCAUGAGUGUUAGGCUUAUUUGUCGAUUCUUGCAUAUUUUGUGUUCAUAUUCGACCAUUUUUAUGUUGUAGUCGUUGAGUUUUAGCCUACGAGAUCGGUGCCCAGGUGGCGUUAAAUGUGACUCGUUAAUUCGGCUAAGUAAUUAUAAGGUCUCUAUGCCUCGUUGUGAUAAAGUGGAGGUUUGAAAUGAGAGAUUGGUAACAUAAGGUUAAUUGGCAAUGCUGUGAUUUAUGAGUAACAAUUAUGGCCAGAGACGUGGUGGUUAUGUGCAUACAUAUAUGUCACACCUCCUUUUGGCUACUACAACCCGGCGAAGGGCGUAGAUAAAGGAGUUUUUCCAAUUAAAGAACAAUCCAAAAGAGAUCUAAUUAUUUAAGAGAUUUUCAGAGUCUCCACUUGGGAGAUUUAUGGUGUCCCAAGUCACCAUUUGGAAUCUCGAAUCGAGGAAAGAAUGGCUCUGAUUAAUAGUCUGCGAACCAGAAAUCCGGGUAAGAAAUUCUGUUAACCCUAGAGUAAGUGUUAGGCAUUCUCGGGUCUCGUGGUCCAGCAUAGUCUCUCAACUGUUAUAUUUGACUUUUGUUAUUUGAUUUUAUAAAAUUAUGAACCUAUGUGCAUUUUGAACCUUUUAACCAUUUUUGUUAUUAUUUUUAAAGAGAAUCCCAAUGUCGUUUAAAAACGUCUUGUACCACGUCACAUAAAUGCACCUGCGGUCUUUGACAUAUUUUAACAUUAUUGAGAUUUAGAUUUGGGUCACAUAAAUGCGCACCCGAGUUUAAGUAAAUUAUAUUAAAAUAACACACCUAAAGCAACUACGCACUUUUAACUUUGCAAGGGCCAUGGAAAGUUCAACUAAUAGCACACCUCGAUUCUAAUUUCAAGGAAUCGUAGUUAUGUCACACGGACGUGUCCACAAUUACGACUUGUAUUUUGAAUGUGCAUAAAGGCUUUCCUACCAGGGUAGAUGACCCAAUCAUGCUCCAAACGGUCAAGUUAAUGAAUCAGUUUUCACCUUUAAUUCACAUACGCCACGACCAUUUAUCAUUGUUUUUCCUGCACUAAUUUCACUUUACAAUCAAGAAUUCAUAAAAUAGAAAUCAAAAUUCUUAGAGACUUUGAACUGACUUCAAACAAAAAUAACAGACAAAUCAAACAAGCAAUAUUAAUGAGCAAGACAAUUAAAGCCUAUCAAUCAAAGGCAAGCAUGAAACUCAUGUAAAGAUUUUCAAACAACAUUAUUACAGCACCAACAUGGAAAAUUAACCAAAAAUAAUAACCAACUUACCAAGAAUACAAAGUCAUUCAAGACAAAAACACUAGGUAGUACCACUUGAACUAAUUAAAGGAUAAGGAUAGAAAUAGACCUUUGUAUUUAAUCUGAGAUGUCAAAACCACGGACAAGAUCCUUAUGGGAAUGUCUCGCUGGAAACCUCAACAAAACAACCUCCACACAAGUCAAACUCAACGGCUCCAAACACGCACGCUAAACCAACCCGAAGCCCUCCUCUAUAUUUCAGUAAAUUCGAACUCACCCGAGUGCAAAUCAAACUCCACAAGAGGAAAUCAAAAUGCAUCUUUUCAGGUUUAAGAAGAAACAAAUGGAUCCCCUUUUUUGUGUUUCUUUUUUAUGAAUAAAAAGAAAGACAGAAUCGGAAAAUGAAAGGGUGGAAUGGAGCCUAAGACCCUCGUCUCCUCUCACUAUGUUGUUGUUCGUUUUGCUACUAUUUUUCGCUCAUUUUGAAGCAUGCUUGAGAAUGAUUUUGAGCUUGAAUUUUGCUCCUAUUUCUGGUCAAACUUCGGACUAUUUCAGGAUUCAAUCAGGUUUCAUGGCCUUUGUAGCAGUGAUUGAUGAAGAAUAAGAAACUGUGGCGACUGGUGGCCGUCGCUGGUGGAGUCAGCGAUUCUGUGCGUGUACUGGUCGUCAGAUGCCUUCGAAAGGGUGUUGGAGUUGGAAUGGCCUUGUGAAAUCAAAAAGAGAAAGUGCUGAUGGGAGGGUGGUUGGUCGCUAGGUCAUGUAAAAGUUUGGAGAUCAGGUUCAGGGGUCGUUUGGUCGAAUAAGAACAACAAUCGUCGGGGGAGGGGUAUUGUAAAAGUUAUGCAGCCCUUCAGGCGUCACUAUCCUUCUGUUUAGGGGUCUAUAUGUGUGUCUUGUGUAUAUAAUGCGUAUUAGGUUUUUAGGUGGUGAAAUGGGUUUGGGUGUUGGGCUGGAUCGG